This 374-nucleotide ribosomal RNA is filed under the name uncultured fungus. RNAcentral's name for it is "eukaryotic LSU rRNA". The stretch from base 1 to 71 matches the Rfam family "5.8S ribosomal RNA", at positions 84 to 154 of the family's 154-position model. Lineage: Eukaryota; Fungi. The record is from RNAcentral.
GUGAAUCAUCGAAUCUUUGAACGCACCUUGCGCUCCUCGGUAUUCCGAGGAGCAUGCCUGUUCGAGUGUCAUCGAAAUCUCGAAUCGAAGCUUGGACCUGGUCCGAGCUUCGUUCGGACAGUGGGAGUCUGCGGGCGAGCCUCGCUACGUCCGCUCUCCUCAAAAGCAUUAGCCGUGGACGCCAGCCUUGCAUGGCACGGCCUCUUCGACGUCGUAAUGAUCGUCGCGGGCUGGAAGUGCGAGGCGUGGACCGACCACGCUUCCCUAGACUUGCGAGCCCGUUCUCCUCGGGGAACGGCCGCGCCCCCAUCGAUGCUUGACCUCGAAUCAGGUAGGACUACCCGCCGAACUUAAGCAUAUCAAUAAGCGGAGGA